AAUGUAGCUCAUGGGUAAAGCACUUGCCUAGCAUGCAUGAGAUCCUGGGUUCAAUUCCUACCAUU
This 65-nucleotide transfer RNA is filed under the name Dipodomys ordii (Ord's kangaroo rat). It matches the Rfam family "tRNA". Rfam says of the family: Transfer RNA (tRNA) molecules are approximately 80 nucleotides in length. Their secondary structure includes four short double-helical elements and three loops (D, anti-codon, and T loops). Further hydrogen bonds mediate the characteristic L-shaped molecular structure. tRNAs have two regions of fundamental functional importance: the anti-codon, which is responsible for specific mRNA codon recognition, and the 3' end, to which the tRNAs corresponding amino acid is attached (by aminoacyl-tRNA synthetases). tRNAs cope with the degeneracy of the genetic code in two manners: having more than one tRNA (with a specific anti-codon) for a particular amino acid; and 'wobble' base-pairing, i.e. permitting non-standard base-pairing at the 3rd anti-codon position. Lineage: Eukaryota; Metazoa; Chordata; Mammalia; Rodentia; Heteromyidae. The record is from Rfam by way of RNAcentral.